CUGAGGAUCCUGCACUUAGUAUCAUGAAGCAUGAGCGGGGUUGUUGGCGCAACAGAGUCAGUAUUGCUGUGAAAGACUGAAUUGUAUUCUUUUCCACCUUCUGCUACGUUAAAAAAAAUUGCUUGAAGAUGCUUUUCCAAUAAUUUCUAAGAGCUAAAGGACUUUAUUAAGAACCAUGCAGGCAUUGAUCCAGAUGUUAAACCUCUCUGUACAAUGGGAAGCCCUCUUGGAAAGCAGUAAAGAAUAAUUGGUUCAUUGUUAUCUAGUCUUGAGAAAAGAGAACAGUGUUGUCUAUUUAUUUGA
Molecule: long non-coding RNA, 303 nt
Organism: Neopelma chrysocephalum (saffron-crested tyrant-manakin)
Lineage: Eukaryota; Metazoa; Chordata; Aves; Passeriformes; Pipridae
Exons: 3
Source: RefSeq, a predicted model, not a curated record